CAUCCUGUUUCCUCUGCACACUGCUGCCUCUGUUCUCCUCAGUUGGGAGACACCUAUCACCACCACUCGUCUCCUCCUCCUCUGGGAAGGGCAGGAAUCAUUCGAUAUGCUGUGCCUUCCAAAGCCUGCUUGGAGUGCUCUAAGGUCUGCACCUGCUGCUCUUGAGUCUUCCCCUCUUGUCUAUUGGAGCUUAUUUUGAUAUCGUGAGGAUAAGUUACAAAGGCAGGAAUCAUAUGGUUUGAGUACUUCCUACAACUUCCUCUCGGCUGGCCAUCUCCAGAGUGCAAUUCUCUUUCUCCAACAUUGUCUCCAUGGAAGAUAGUAACAAACUCCAAAGGAAAAUUCAGAUGACUAUGUUUAAAAAUGUGUAGGGAGCAUUUGUGAAGAUGAAUGGUCAACCAGGAAGGGUGAACUGAUCACCCUUUUCUCAUCCCCAGGCUGCUCUUCCACCUUCCAUGAUGACAUUCUAAUAUUCUCCUCGCCCCUUCCUCACAUUCUGCAGGGUUACCAUAGAGACAGCAGGAAACAACUUUGCACCAUCACUAUUCCGUUGCCCAUUUCUUACCGGACGUCGUUCAGUGAUUCACUUUCUUAUCAUGCCUUUCUCAACCAAGGACAAACAGCAGGAGCCCAAGAACUGGAAAUAUGCGGAGGUGUAUAAAGGAGUUGGUGGCACAAUGACUGCCACCCCCACAACGCCCACACUUCCUUUGCUGAUGGGAUGAACUGUGAAAGUGGCCAAGAGUACCACUAUUCCUACAAGCACUCAGAAAUGAAAUUCAGGAGCAUGUCA
Podarcis raffonei (Aeolian wall lizard) is the source of this 793-nucleotide long non-coding RNA. RefSeq lists it as uncharacterized. The record is from RefSeq and is a predicted model, not a curated record. NCBI's taxonomy places the organism in Eukaryota, Metazoa, Chordata, Lepidosauria, Squamata, Lacertidae. The transcript has 2 exons.